Vicia villosa (hairy vetch) is the source of this 1539-nucleotide long non-coding RNA. RefSeq lists it as uncharacterized. The record is from RefSeq and is a predicted model, not a curated record. Lineage: Eukaryota; Viridiplantae; Streptophyta; Magnoliopsida; Fabales; Fabaceae. The transcript has 4 exons.
CAGAAGCAAAGAGAAACACCAUCUUAUUUAUCGCACCUUCCUUUAUUCUCCACUACAACACAACAUAUUUAACAUUGCGACAACCACAGCUGCAACACAGUUUUAUCACCGCCACGAAAUCCAUCACCGCAAUAUAACUUAUUUACCGCCCCGAGAGUCACCACUGCGACACAGCCUAUCUACCGUCGUGAGAACCACCGUUGCAACACAACCUAUUUAUUACUGCGAGAGCCACUUCACUCAUAGUCAAAUUCUCGAUAAUUCAAUUUUAAUCGGAAAUAGAGAAAGAACAUCGGUACCAUUUGUCGAAUAGUUAUAGGUGGUAUGGAGGGACUAAAAGACGUGUCAACGGAAGUGGUUGAUGAAACAGGUGAGGAUAGUGAGGAAGAUUUCAGUUGAUGGUGCCAAAUGGUUAUGCAAAAAAAGAAUUCAUGGCAACUGUGUCUAGUCAACAUGGUGGUGCAUUCAAUAUGGGGGUGUUCUUAGAACUGACGAUAUUCAAUGAUGGCAGUCAACAUGGUGGUGUUCUCAGAAGAAGAAGCUAUGUCGUUCAGCGGUGUUGUUCUCGAAACCGACGAAAAUUGAUGGUGCUCAUAGAAACUACGACAUUGUGUUCACAGAACAUGAACCUGUUUGUGGUUUUAUUAUUUUUCACUGAAAUUUCGCUUUUAAUUAAAACUGUUGUUAACCAGAUCCAAACCGAUUUAAAGUUCUUUGCUUUAAUCUGGUUUUCCUUGAUAUGUAAUAUUUGUCUGCUUUCAAUCAGAAAGCUGCGAAGAGAAAAAGGAUUACUUGCUGCUUGAAAAGCCAACUUUGAAAAGAGUAAAGAGUUCAAGGAACAGUUGCAAGUUUUCAGGAAAGAAAAUGCUGCAAGCAGCAGUCAAUAGAAGGAUUACUUGCUGCUUGAAAAGCCAACUUUGAAAAGAGUAAAGAGUUCAAGGAACAGUUGCAAGUUUUCAGGAAAGAAAAUGCUGCAAGCAGCAGUCAAUAGAAGGAUUACUUGCUGCUUGAAAAGCCAACUUUGAAAAGAGUAAAGAGUUCAAGGAACAGUUGCAAGUUUUCAGGAAAGAAAAUGCUGCAAGCAGCAGUCAAUAGAAGGAUUAUGGCCUGAUAUGAUAUUUUGCCAAUUUCAAAACAUUGAAUUAUUCUAUUAUCAAUAUUGUAAGAAUUUUCCAUUCCUUUGUUAGAAGAAGGAUUUCCUCCAUAUUAGAGAGGUCGUGUAGCUUCUAAACAAAUGUAUGGAAAAAAUCAAAAUAAAUGAAAUACAUAUGUAUUUUUAUACAGUCAACAUUAAUAACAGAGCUCUUUAUUUGUUUACAAAAUAUAAAAGAAUCCUGCCUCACCACCAUUACUUAAUAGAAAGAAACUCAUCACUCAAAUAAUGUUAGAUUAGAUUGUUCUAUUUGCUUUUUACUCUACUGGAGGCUUCACACAAAAUUAGUCGAAAACUUAGGGUGGAAGGUUUAAAUAAAAGAACAUUGUAUAUGUUUGAAUUAAUAAAAUCUGUAGAUUUUUACUCUACUAGAAGAAGUACAAUAG